GAUGAACGCUGGCGGCGUGCCUAAUACAUGCAAGUCGAGCGAACAGACGAGGAGCUUGCUCCUCUGACGUUAGCGGCGGACGGGUGAGUAACACGUGGAUAACCUACCUAUAAGACUGGGAUAACUUCGGGAAACCGGAGCUAAUACCGGAUAAUAUAUUGAACCGCAUGGUUCAAUAGUGAAAGACGGUUUUGCUGUCACUUAUAGAUGGAUCCGCGCCGCAUUAGCUAGUUGGUAAGGUAACGGCUUACCAAGGCAACGAUGCGUAGACGACGUGAGAGGGGGAUCGGCCACACUGGAACUGAGACACGGUCCAGACUCCUACGGGAGGCAGCAGUAGGGAAUCGGCCGCAAUGGGCGAAAGCCUGACGGAGCAACGCCGCGUGAGUGAUGAAGGUCUUCGGAUCGUAAAACUCUGUUAUUAGGGAAGAACAAAUGUGUAAGUAACUAUGCACGUCUUGACGGUACCUAAUCAGAAAGCCACGGCUAACUACGUG
RNAcentral lists this ribosomal RNA (497 nucleotides) under uncultured bacterium. RNAcentral's name for it is "partial 16S ribosomal RNA". It matches the Rfam family "Bacterial small subunit ribosomal RNA", at positions 28 to 507 of the family's 1533-position model. The record is from RNAcentral.